AUUUAAAUAGCUUAAAUUUAAGAGUAUAAUAUUGAAGAUAUUAUGGUGAUUAUAUAAAUCUUUAAAUA
Molecule: transfer RNA, 68 nt
Filed under: Scarodytes savinensis
Lineage: Eukaryota; Metazoa; Arthropoda; Insecta; Coleoptera; Dytiscidae
Description: tRNA-Phe
Source: RNAcentral